AUGACUGGGGAGGUGAACAACUACUAUUUGCUUCCCGAAGAACCCGACCCCUUGCGCACCUUGCAUCAUAAGGAUAGCAUCACCAAGGUUAUGUUUCUCGCUGCCGUGGCUAAACCAAGAUACGGCGAAGGUGGUAAGGUCACGUUUGAUGGGAAGCUCGGCAUUUGGGCUUUUGUCACAGAGUCUCCUGCUCAAAGAACAAGUGAAAAUAGAGAUAAAGGGACGCUCAAGCUCAAAUCAUUGAAAGUCACAAGAGAUGUAAUG
Molecule: ribosomal RNA, 264 nt
Filed under: Triticum aestivum (bread wheat)
Lineage: Eukaryota; Viridiplantae; Streptophyta; Magnoliopsida; Poales; Poaceae
Description: partial small subunit ribosomal RNA
Source: RNAcentral